Molecule: long non-coding RNA, 2236 nt
Filed under: Panax ginseng (ginseng)
Lineage: Eukaryota; Viridiplantae; Streptophyta; Magnoliopsida; Apiales; Araliaceae
Description: long non-coding RNA (PGIN_LNC000528)
Source: RNAcentral
UGGUUCUGUAACAUUUCCCAAGGCCUACAACCUUUAUCUUAAUACAUACCUUUAAUGAUUCACAAGGUUUACAUAAUCAAACUAUUUAAGGUAACAUAAUAGUUGACGAUGCAUAAUAAGUUAUUCUUGGAAUUUAUCCUUGUCUCUGACUUUCCUCGAACCUUCGUAUAAAUCUGAAAAUGUUAUCAUGAUAUAGCAAAAGUGAGCAACUACUUUGCCCAGCAAGUUUAAAUAUAAGAAGGAUAUACUAUGAUUGAAAAGGAAUAAGCUUUCAAGUUUUCAACAAUGUAAUAUAAUUGUGAAAGAGCAUGAAUCAAUUUCAAUGAUUGAAUCAAUAAUGAAGAGUGAUAAACAAUGAUCAUGAACAAAUUUAACUGAAUCUUAUGGUAAUCAAGGUGAUUCGCCUUUCAUACCUGAUGAACAUAUGCAACAUGCACUAAAUGCGAAUCAAUAAUCAAAGAUUUAGAAUAAUUGUAAAUAAUUAAACCACUAGCAUGCUUAAAACAUAAUAACUCGAGUUUGAGUUAGGAAACUUGCAUUGACCUUCGAUUACUGCUACACAAUCUAUUAUAAUCUCUUUAUUGAAAAGACCUAUCAUUGUUAAGAUUGAUCUUCCAAUUAGCAUAAUACAUUUUAUCUCAUAACAUUACUAUUUUAAUAACAUAUUAUCUAACAUUUAGCCACAUAACAAAUAUUAGAUCUUACGUUAAGUCCUUAGUACUAUUAUUAUACCUUGAUAAUAUUACUAUCAUCUUAAACUCAUUUCAUAUCAUUAAUCUUAAUAAUAUUUUAUUCACUUCUUAGUAUUAUUAAUCAAUUAAUAAUACUUUAAUCAUAUAAUAAUAUCUUAAUUGUUUACAAAUAUUAUUAACCCUUUAAUGAUAUUUUAAUCACUUAGUAAUAUUAUUAAUUAUUUAAUAAUAUUUUAACCAUUUACAAAUAUUAUUAAGAUUUUAAUCACAUUUUAAUAUUAUUAAUCAUUUAAUAAUAUUUUAAAUCAUUAUAUAAUAUUAUUAAUUAUUUAAUAAUAUUUUAAUAAUUUAUUAAACUUAUAAACAAUUUAUUUUAAUUGUUUACCCUUUACUAAUUACUUUAUUUAACAACCUUAAAAUGACAUAAAUAUAACAUCUCAUCAAAAAUGACCAAAAUAGUCUCCAUAAAUCUGAUUACAUCAUCUUUAGGUUCUUUUGUCAAAAAUAUUAUAUUUUUACCCUUUAUAACAUCACUUAACUUAUUUUAUCCAUUUAUUCAUAACUAAAUCAUUCACAUGAAAAAUAAAAAAAAUAAUUCUGAAAAUUCUAAUUUUCUGGGAAACAUCAGUUAAUAUUACACUUAUGAACAUAUAAUUUUUCUGAAAUUUUUCAGUUUCGUUUACUAUGCUUAAAACGGCCAAAAUAGUCGGAUCUUGCAACAAUUUUCAUGAACUAAUUUUUUGUCAAAAAAUUCUGAAACGUGUAGGGGAUGUUCUGGUUAUGUGUAUGUACUUGCUAUUAAAAUUUCACAAGUUUUGGAGUUACACAAAGAGUUAUUCUCUUUUACUUUUUAAGUAGUGUUUUCUCGUAAAAUCCAUAACUUUCAUCUUACACGCCCAAAAAUUACCAUCUUUUUACUGAAAACAAUUAACUCAUCAUAUUAUCAUCUCAAUUUGUUCAACAAUUUUUAAAGUAAAAUAAAUGGACAAAACUGCCCUUGCUAUGAACUGUCCAAAAACAGUCAUUUUUUCUCUUUUUUUUAAAAUCUGGACAGUUUUGCUACAAAAUAGGUCCCAUGGCUUAACAAAUCAAUAUUUUUGAGUGCUACCAUUUGGGUUUGAAAGCUAACUUACAUAUCUAACACCCCUCUUUGACGGAUUGAAAAAAAUGUGUAGAUUUUAAGUUAUAACCUUUCAAAAUGGGCAGAAGGGUUUUCUAGAACUAAAAACCAUCUUUCAUCCCUUUUUAUUUUUCAAAUUUUUCAACACCCAAAAAUGGAUGAUCUAAACAUAAAACACCUUAAAACAUAUAGAUCUAAGGUUUUGGAGUUUUAGAAACAUUAGAUCUUUAUUUCAUCAUAAUCCACCAAAAUAAAUUAAACAAAGUUUAAGGUUUAUACCUUUUGAUAUCUUCUCCUCUUGAUUUCUUUUUCUUCUUCUCCUCCCUUUUUUCUCUCUUUUCUUCUCUUCCAUGGCAGCCACUUUCUUUCUCUUCCUCUAUAUUGGUUUGCGCAUGGAGUGAAGAAAUGAGAGAGAGAGAGAGAG